AUUCAAGAAGUCUGCAUGACCAACCAUCAUGAGUGUGGUAGACUAGACAGAUACAAGCUUGAAAUACUUGAAGUAGCUGUUUUCCCUGAGAAACAAUGACAUGGAGGAUAGGAUACCUUGAUUCAGAGCCCUAAGAAGGCUAUAACCAUAUUCUCUGAGGCCCAAAAUAUAAGUAGAAGAUAAAAUUAGACCUCUGGGAUAAAUUGUAGAUGAAGAUCUGAGAUUAACAGAAAGAAGGACUAAAUUAGUUGCCCAGCAAGAAAUGAUAUGUGCUGCUUCUUGUAGACAGCGUCAAGUCAAAGCCAUCAAAUAUCUCAGAAAUGUAGGACUUUGCUUUCAAUGUGCAGAUUCUAAAACUGAAUAAGCAUGGGAAACAGAGCAACUAGAGCUUUAUCCCAUCAAAUCUCUGGGCCCCUUGUUAUUAUCUAGGUGUGCUCGGUUCAUUGUCUCUGUUCAGAAAAGAAUUGAAGAACAGGACACAGAGAUAACAAGAAGAAGUAGGUUUAUUGCAAAGGUGAUAGAGAUACAGAGAAUAGACUUCUAUGAAGAGAAGGGGCCCCAGAAUUGGGAAUCUGAUAGGGAGUUUUGGCCUGUUGCUUUUUAAGAUCUCUGGAAUUUCCUCCUUUCCUUAUCUCCUCCUCUGUCAACUUUCUCCUCACUAUUAUUGAUUGGUGCCCCCUCUAUCCAUGCAUCUGUUUUAGUUUUUCUAUUGGAUUCCCCACUUAGGAGCACGAGUAUGGAAGUGUCUGACUGGGUCCCCCACUUGUGUCUAUGAGCACUCUCGUCAAGCAGAAAGUUGACCUCAUCAGAAGACUCUUUCCAUUAUCCUUUGUUCUGGCUCUGCCUGUAACCACCUCUCUUGCCAUAGUAUCCUGAUUGCUUAAGCCCCUCUACAUCUCCUACACCCUCGGUAGAUUUUAUUUUUUCUUGACUGGAAUUUUCCUUGGUGAUUAAUUAUAAAGGGAAAUAGAAGUACUUAUUUAUUGAUGGAUAAUCAACCUUGCAUAAGGUCUCUGACAAUGAACAGCUAUAGGCCACUGGCUCAAACUGAUAUUCCUGUUUCAUGUCUUGGGGUCAGUGCUCUGUAUAGAGUGCAAUCUAUUUUCAGGAAAAUUCAUGUUAUAAUUGUUUUUGA
RNAcentral lists this long non-coding RNA (1135 nucleotides) under Marmota monax (woodchuck). The record is from RNAcentral. Lineage: Eukaryota; Metazoa; Chordata; Mammalia; Rodentia; Sciuridae.